This 562-nucleotide ribosomal RNA is filed under the name uncultured fungus. Its description in RNAcentral is "eukaryotic LSU rRNA". It matches the Rfam family "Eukaryotic large subunit ribosomal RNA", at positions 62 to 648 of the family's 3401-position model. The record is from RNAcentral. Lineage: Eukaryota; Fungi.
AAACCAACAGGGAUUGCCUCAGUAACGGCGAGUGAAGCGGCAACAGCUCAAAUUUGAAAUCUGGCCCUAGGCCCGAGUUGUAAUUUGCAGAGGAUGCUUUUGGUGCGGUGCCUUCCAAGUUCCCUAGAACGGGACGCCAGAGAGGGUGAGAGCCCCGUACAGUUGGACACCAAGCCUUUGUAAAGCUCCUUCGACGAGUCGAGUAGUUUGGGAAUGCUGCUCAAAAUGGGAGGUAUAUUUCUUCUAAAGCUAAAUACCGGCCAGAGACCGAUAGCGCACAAGUAGAGUGAUCGAAAGAUGAAAAGCACUUUGAAAAGAGGGUUAAACAGCACGUGAAAUUGUUAAAAGGGAAGCGCUUGUGACCAGACUUGCGUCCGGUGAAUCACCCAGCUCUCGCGGCUGGGGCACUUCGCCGGCUCAGGCCAGCAUCAGCUCGCUGUCGGGGACAAAAGCUUCGGGAACGUAGCUCUCUUCGGGGAGUGUUAUAGCCUGUUGCACAAUACCCUUCGGCGGGCUGAGGUACGCGCUCCGCAAGGAUGCUGGCAUAACGGUCAUCAGCGAC